AUGAACGCUGGCGGCGUGCCUAAUACAUGCAAGUCGAGCGAACAGACGAGGAGCUUGCUCCUCUGACGUUAGCGGCGGACGGGUGAGUAACACGUGGAUAACCUACCUAUAAGACUGGGAUAACUUCGGGAAACCGGAGCUAAUACCGGAUAAUAUCUUGAACCGCAUGGUUCAAUAGUGAAAGACGGUUUUGCUGUCACUUAUAGAUGGAUCCGCGCCGCAUUAGCUAGUUGGUAAGGUAACGGCUUACCAAGGCGACGAUGCGUAGCCGACCUGAGAGGGUGAUCGGCCACACUGGAACUGAGACACGGUCCAGACUCCUACGGGAGGCAGCAGUAGGGAAUCUUCCGCAAUGGGCGAAAGCCUGACGGAGCAACGCCGCGUGAGUGAUGAAGGUCUUCGGAUCGUAAAACUCUGUUAUUAGGGAAGAACAAAUGUGUAAGUAACUAUGCACGUCUUGACGGUACCUAAUCAGAAAGCCACGGCUAACUACGUG
This 496-nucleotide ribosomal RNA is filed under the name uncultured bacterium. RNAcentral describes it as "partial 16S ribosomal RNA". It matches the Rfam family "Bacterial small subunit ribosomal RNA", at positions 29 to 507 of the family's 1533-position model. The record is from RNAcentral.